RNAcentral lists this ribosomal RNA (484 nucleotides) under uncultured bacterium. RNAcentral describes it as "partial 16S ribosomal RNA". It matches the Rfam family "Bacterial small subunit ribosomal RNA", at positions 28 to 523 of the family's 1533-position model. The record is from RNAcentral.
GACGAACGCUGGCGGCGUGCUUAACACAUGCAAGUCGAACGAUGAAGCCGGAGCUUGCUCUGGUGAAUUAGUGGCGAACGGGUGAGUAACACGUGAGUAACCUGCCCUUGACUCUGGGAUAACUGCGGGAAACUGUAGCUAAUACCGGAUACGACCCUCGGAGGCAUCUCCUGGGGGUGGAAAGAAUUUCGGUCAAGGAUGGACUCGCGGCCUAACAGCUAGUUGGUGAGGUAAAGGCUCACCAAGGCGACGACGGGUAGCCGGCCUGAGAGGGUGAUCGGCCACACUGGGACUGAGACACGGCCCAGACUCCUACGGGAGGCAGCAGUGGGGAAUAUUGCACAAUGGGCGCAAGCCUGAUGCAGCAACGCCGCGUGAGGGAUGACGGCCUUCGGGUUGUAAACCUCUUUUAGUAGGGAAGAAGCGAAAGUGACGGUACCUGCAGAAAAAGCACCGGCUAACUACGUGCCAGCCGCCGCGGUAA